This is a long non-coding RNA of Ostrea edulis (European flat oyster), 1760 nucleotides long. RefSeq lists it as uncharacterized. Lineage: Eukaryota; Metazoa; Mollusca; Bivalvia; Ostreida; Ostreidae. The record is from RefSeq and is a predicted model, not a curated record. The transcript is spliced from 4 exons.
AUCCCCAAAUACUCCUAAAUUUACUGCAUUGCGUUUUAUAUAUUCCGAGCUGUUACACGACAGCUUGUAAUUUUUAUAAAGGCAAAUGAUAUUAAUGCGUGCACAAUACUCUUCUAUGUUUAUCACAUAAGAGUGUUCAACGAAGGGAAAUAACUACAAGAUAACUCGAAAUUUGUUAAUUGUACAAGGUUUCACUGCUUCUUCUUUGUAGGGACCAUUCUUCCGAUACCUCAAUCAGACCGAUGUAGAUGAGGACUUUGAUACAGAGAACAUUGCCGACCAGACAGACGACAAUAUAGAACCGGUACUGUACAGAUUGUCAGAUGCAAAGGGAUGUCUUGAGUUCUCUCUGGAGAAAACGGGUCCGGUUAAAAUCGGCGAUUUCGAUAGAAACGACGUCUUUAUUUUCGACACCAAGCAGGAAUUGUUUGUGUGGGUGGGCAGUCAAACAACCCACCAGGAGAGGAAGAACGCAAUGACCUAUGCACAUAAUUAUUUGAUGAAGACAGGACACCCCUUGAUUCCAGUCAGUUGUCUCAACGAGGGCGCCGCCAACAAUUCCUUCAAUAUGGCUAUCACUGCUUGAGAAAGCCGACCACAGAAGAGCUUGAAUCAACAUGAACUCAGCUCAUCCACUUCGAACGCUUUCUGCGUAACUACUGAUAUUUCUAUAAAUCAAAAUGAUCGUCUAUUUCGCCAUUCGUUUCGACUGAGACUAUUAUCUGCUUAAUAUAUCCUUAAACACGAUUUUUGACUUCGUUUUGUGAAAAAAAUUCAAAUGUGAAUAUGCUGAAUGUCGUCUUUAUCUUAUGUUUGACUGCUCCACCGGGAUUUUACAUGUAUUCAUAUCCCACAAUAUAAUGUGUAGACGGAAACACCCUGAUCAUUUCAUUUUGAGCAUUAAUGGUGUCUGGAAUUAGUAGUGUAUAGUCAUAAGGUAUUGUUUGGUAUAGCAAUUUAUGAUUAAUGUAGUAGGAGUUAUUUGCAUUUAUCUCUCUCUCUCUUCUUCUUCUUCUUCUUGGUCGCGAAUCAAGAUUUUGAGAAUGCGAGGUACUCCCCCUCUGAGGCAUUAGUGAAUUUGUGAAUCCGCGUCAGACUGAUGGUAUCAUUUAUAUACUAGAUCAUAUCAUUGUAAUGGCAAUCACCAAAAAACGGGCCCCUGCUUUGAAAGGAGGUACUCUACAUCGUCAUAAUGGCUGACUUCCUUUAAAAACAUGAUGAAAAAAAAUCAGUAUCAGCAAUAUUUGACUUUGCGUUAUAUGUGCUAAGCCAAGAUCCAUAACUCUUUGAAUCAUAGAUAAACAAAAUUCAUUGAUACAUGUAUACAUGUAAGUUCGCAUUUAAUCCUCAGUUCAGUAGCUACAGUAAUGGUUCUUUGGUUUAUGCUAUUUAACUCUAUGUUUUCUUUGUUUUGCUUUUUAUUUUAUUUUAUCAUUUGUUUUAUUUUUGGUUUUGUUUUGUUUUGUUUGUUUUUGUUUUUAUGAUUAUUAUUUUUAAUUCUUCUAAGAAUCCAAGAACUGUAACAAAAUUUAUGAAUGUUGUUUUUAUAGUGAAAUUUUCUAUAUUUUUAUAAUAUAUCUAUUGAUUAUAAGGAGUAAGAUACUUCUAAUCUGUGCACUGGUGCACGUGUCUUUAAUUUUGGAACAAUGAAUUUAACGUGAUACCCUUGUUAACAAUUUUAAUCAUCAUGUUUUGGUUGUCUGUUAAUGUUGGUAAUUUUUUAAAUUGGUUUUCAUAUGAAUAAAAGAGAGUAUUUCACA